GACGAACCGUGCGAAUGUUGUUCGGAAUCACUGGGCUUAAAGGGCGCGUAGGCGGGCUAUCAAGUCUGGGGUGAAAUGCCGCGGCUCAACCGUGGAACUGCCUUAGAUACUGACGGCCUCGAGGAAGGUAGGGGCAUGCGGAACUGUAGGUGGAGCGGUGAAAUGCGUUGAUAUCUACAGGAACUCCGGUGGCGAAAGCGGCGUGCUGGACCUUUUCUGACGCUGAGGCGCGAAAGCUAGGGGAGCAAACGGG
Molecule: ribosomal RNA, 253 nt
Filed under: uncultured bacterium
Lineage: Bacteria
Description: partial 16S ribosomal RNA
Rfam family: Bacterial small subunit ribosomal RNA
Source: RNAcentral